RNAcentral lists this transfer RNA (72 nucleotides) under Candidatus Woesearchaeota archaeon. RNAcentral's name for it is "tRNA-Lys". It matches the Rfam family "tRNA". From Rfam's summary of the family: Transfer RNA (tRNA) molecules are approximately 80 nucleotides in length. Their secondary structure includes four short double-helical elements and three loops (D, anti-codon, and T loops). Further hydrogen bonds mediate the characteristic L-shaped molecular structure. tRNAs have two regions of fundamental functional importance: the anti-codon, which is responsible for specific mRNA codon recognition, and the 3' end, to which the tRNAs corresponding amino acid is attached (by aminoacyl-tRNA synthetases). tRNAs cope with the degeneracy of the genetic code in two manners: having more than one tRNA (with a specific anti-codon) for a particular amino acid; and 'wobble' base-pairing, i.e. permitting non-standard base-pairing at the 3rd anti-codon position. Lineage: Archaea; Nanobdellati; Candidatus Woesearchaeota. The record is from RNAcentral.
GGACCCAUAGGUUAACUGGUAAACCAGAUGGCUUUUAACCAUCUGUUCCCGAUUCGAGUUCGGGUGGGUCCA